Molecule: long non-coding RNA, 458 nt
Organism: Telopea speciosissima
Lineage: Eukaryota; Viridiplantae; Streptophyta; Magnoliopsida; Proteales; Proteaceae
Exons: 3
Source: RefSeq, a predicted model, not a curated record
UCAUGUGAAACUCGCCUUGCAGCUAAGCUCAUGGUAUCUAUUGUAACUGUUAUUGAAUUAGUAGAACCUUGUGUCAAUUGAUUCGUGUGCUUUAUUAGUGGUCAUUACUUGUGGUUGAUAUUCUAAGAACUGUAUUGUCUUGUAUUACUUCUUGGCAAUAUCUAUUAACCUCAUUCAUACCCUUCCUUGUGGCAGUGCACUUUUGCUCUAUUUGAUAUUUCUAUACCACUCUUUGCUUGGUGUAUGUGAUUAGAUGGUACUAAGAGGAAAGAACCAUUUGCCUCUAUUAUCUAUAUUGCAGUCGCUGUGGCACAUGCUUUAAGCUUGCAGAGUUCCUAUACCACCCUCUGAAAUGUUCAUCUUACUCCCACUGCAGGGUUCUGGCACUUCAGAUAGACAUAACUGAACCUAAGUGUUUGACAACCAGAAGUGUAGGACCCUCAUGUGCCCUGGUGGAU